Non-coding RNA from Chelonoidis abingdonii (Abingdon island giant tortoise), 873 nucleotides. The record is from RefSeq and is a predicted model, not a curated record. NCBI's taxonomy places the organism in Eukaryota, Metazoa, Chordata, Testudines, Testudinidae.
GCACUCAGUCCAGAGGAAUUCUUAACCAAACAGCGUCCAGCAUCCCCCUUCCAGGUGUAGAUUUUGGCUGCAAAGAGGGGCGAGGUGACAGAGCUUACAGCCGUAACGCGUGGUAGCCGGCUCGGCCAGUCAGCCUCCCGACAGCUAGCUACUGAACCAGUGCCUUUCAGCCCCAGCUCUCAAGCAGUGAGCUCUCAGCAGCUUCAGGCCUGGUCAGUUCUUGGGAAGAAGGACUGCUAAGCAGAGAUGGGGUCCACCUAUCGAGGAAGGAGAAGAGCAUAUUUGGCUACAGACUGGCUAAUUUCGUGAGGAGGGCUUUAAAGUAGGUUCGACUGGGGCAAGAGAUCAAAGCCCACAGUUAGGUGCUGCCCUCCCCCCUAGAGAUAGCAGCAUUCAGAUUCUGAGGUCGGUUACACGGAGCAUCUCUCCUGAGGCAAGAACCAACACAGCACUGAGCGAGAGAGAGAUCCAGAUUCUAGCUUGCGUUGCUCAUGGUCAAAAGAAUUAACAAAACGGUGACGUUAUGUGAAUUGUUUCUUUAAAUCUGUAGCAAUCCGCCAGGCAGCACUGAAGCUCGGGGAGCUUCUAGGUAGAGCUCUACAGUAAAGCAGAGAGAAACAGAGGCGCUUUAGGGUUAGCAUUGCGAUGCGUAUUCUAAUAAAGGUCCAUGUUCUGUGUUGGAAGAAAGUGAUGCUCUCUAGGAUUCUUUGCCACUGGCACAUGACGGUGUCAGAGAGAAACUCGUUCAGGAGCAGGAUCAAGAACAGGAAAAGAAAACUGCCAAAGUUCAGGGCUGCCCAGCCCUUUGGGUUUGACAAGCCCAUGGACUGGCCUGAAUGAAAGGAGUUUCACCAAAUCCCAAGCUGCAAUGAA